UGAAGGCGUUAGAUAUGUCUAUAGACACC
Molecule: small RNA, 29 nt
Filed under: Bombyx mori (domestic silkworm)
Lineage: Eukaryota; Metazoa; Arthropoda; Insecta; Lepidoptera; Bombycidae
Description: ovarian small RNA-30958
Source: RNAcentral